UCCCUGCGUGCGCCGAGCCUCGCCAGCCAGGGAUGCAGCCCACACCCGUGGGCCGGGCGAGGACGGGGGACCCAGUGUGGCCAGUGAGUGCAUGUGUGUUCGAGCGCAUGACAAGAGGACGAGAUCUGGCCUUGGGGUGAGGUCGCGCGAGCGACGGGGCACCUGACGCCCUAACCCGACAGCUAACCCCGCAGGCGCGCGUCAGGAAGGAACA
RNAcentral lists this small RNA (214 nucleotides) under Terrabacter sp. Its description in RNAcentral is "c-di-AMP sequence". The stretch from base 41 to 214 matches the Rfam family "c-di-AMP riboswitch aptamer (ydaO/yuaA leader)". From Rfam's summary of the family: This family represents a conserved RNA structure found upstream of the ydaO and yuaA genes in Bacillus subtilis and related genes in other bacteria. The ydaO/yuaA element is thought to act as a genetic "off" switch for the ydaO and yuaA genes in its native state. Lineage: Bacteria; Bacillati; Actinomycetota; Actinomycetes; Micrococcales; Intrasporangiaceae. The record is from RNAcentral.